UCCGCCCGCUGGCCGCGUGCCUAAUUCAUGCAACUAGAACGCUGAAGAGAGGAGCUUGCUCUUCUUGGAUGAGUUGCGAACGGGUGAGUAACGCGUAGGUAACCUGCCUGGUAGCGGGGGAUAAAUAUUGGAAAAGAUAGCUAAUACCGCAUAACAUUGAUUAUUGCAUGAUAAUUAAUUGAAAGAUGCACCUGCAUCACUACCAGAUGGACCUGCGUUGUAUUAGCUAGUUGGUGAGGUAACGGCUCACCAAGGCGACGAUACAUGGCCGACCUGAGAGGACGAUCGGCCACACUGGGACUGAGACACGGCCCAGACUCCUACGGGAGGCAGCAGGAGGGAAGCUUCGGCAAUGGGGGGAACCCUGACCGAGCAACGCCGCGUGAGUGAAGAAGGGUUUCGGAUCGUAAAGCUCUGUUGUAAGAGAUGAACGGGAGUGAGAGUGGAAAGUUCACACUGUGGGGGUAUCUUACCAGAGGGGGACGGGUAACUAGGUG
Molecule: ribosomal RNA, 497 nt
Filed under: uncultured bacterium
Lineage: Bacteria
Description: partial 16S ribosomal RNA
Rfam family: Bacterial small subunit ribosomal RNA
Source: RNAcentral